Molecule: RNA transcript, 1540 nt
Organism: Beta vulgaris subsp. vulgaris (sugar beet)
Lineage: Eukaryota; Viridiplantae; Streptophyta; Magnoliopsida; Caryophyllales; Amaranthaceae
Gene name: adenine phosphoribosyltransferase 5
Exons: 7
Source: RefSeq, a predicted model, not a curated record
GGCCAAAAAAGAAGUGCUUAUUUAAACACCCCUUCCUCUCUCUCAUAUCAACCCACAGAUUUAGAGAGAGAAACCAAAAAAAAAAAAAACAGAGUUAGUAAGAUAAGAAUAAGAGAUACUACUAUAUACUCCUAGUAAUAAAAUUUUAGGAGGGAAAAAUAAAAUCCUGCAACUACUACUAUUUACUCCUUACUACUAGCAUAACAUAGCCUACUGCCACUCUACCCCCCUUCCCUUCUCUGCCUCAACCAAACAGAGCAUAACUCAGACUGAGAAAUAGAGAGAGAAAAAUAAAAGAAGAGAAGAAAGUAAGAAAGCAAAAACCCAGAAAAACCCAACUUCAAUUUUACUCACUUCAUUGAAUUUUACCCCCAAAAUUUUGACCUAAAUUUUCAGAAUUCAAAAAUUAAAACUUUAUUGAAUUUUUAGAGAGAGAAAGAUGUUUGCAGCUGAAAAUGGUCUCAAAGGAGAUCCAAGGCUUCAAGCCAUUUCUGAAGCCAUCAGGGUUGUUCCUCAUUUUCCUAAACAAGGUAUAAUGUUUCAAGAUAUAACAACAUUAUUAUUGGACCAUAAAGCCUUCAAACAUACUAUUGAUAUAUUUGUUGACAGAUACAGAGACAUGGAUAUCUCUGUUGUUGCUGGGGUUGAAGCUAGAGGAUUUAUGUUUGGUCCACCAAUUGCUUUAGCUAUUGGCGCAAAGUUUGUACCCUUACGUAAACCAAGGAAGUUACCAGGAGAAGUGAUUUCAGAGUCAUAUGAGCUAGAGUAUGGGACUGACUGUCUUGAGAUGCACGUUGGCGCUGUUCAGCCUGGGGAGCGUGCAUUGAUAAUUGAUGAUCUAGUUGCUACAGGCGGAACACUUUGUGCAGCAAUCAGACUUCUUGAACGAGUUGGUGCUGAAGUUGCGGAAUGUGCCUGUGUAAUUGGAUUGCCUGAAGUCAAGGUGAGUCUUAUAUAAGCGAGGACAAGUUCAAGCUUAGAGGCACGCCGCUUUAUGUUCUUGUAGAACCACGCCAACUAGAAGAUUGCCGUUUAAGGUCAAAACUGGACAUGAGGAGAGAUGCUGAUGAUAUUACCUUAUAAAGUUGAAAAUUUGGAAGAAAAAUUUACAAACGAGUGUCUUUGAUCUCCUAAAUAUCACAGUUUCAUGGCGACUCGGAGCUAUUUGAACGCUAUUGAAGGUUGAAGACGGUGAUAACUGUGUUUCUUUCUUGUAUUGAGGACUGUAAACUUACCCGUCACUCUGCUAUCUAGCAAGUUCAGACUCAAAUACCAUGUGUUCCUCCUUAAUUCAACAGAAGAUUGUACCAACUUCAACUUGAAGUGUUUAUGCUCCUAAAUAUGUUUAUUUCUCUUUAAUAGACGGGUUCCAACCCUCGGCUUCCUCCUUGACAAGGUGGUGCUCAGGCCAUGGUUUUGGGUGUCAAAAAUGCUGAUGCUUAGCCUGGAUAUGUUCAUUCAUGUGAUUCAUCUUGUCCCAUGAAUGUAGCUCCAUAAAUAUUCUUCCAUCAUUAUGAAAUUUGACUAUUAGUUCUGAAAA